Molecule: long non-coding RNA, 678 nt
Filed under: Homo sapiens (human)
Lineage: Eukaryota; Metazoa; Chordata; Mammalia; Primates; Hominidae
Description: non-protein coding lnc-ADAM21-2:2
Source: RNAcentral
UAACUAAAUUUAAUGAUUACAGCAAAUAUAAAGUUCUUUUGUAAAUUAUUGUUGGUUAAGGAUUGACUUGCAUUGACAACACACUUUAGCUCUCGCCCCUUUCAUUCUCCCCCUGCAAGAACAAAGGCAAAAUGAACAGUGAGGAAAACCUGGAAACAGGACCGAGUGUUUGCUAUCACUUGAUUCCUUUGAAGGAGCAAUGCUUUCUCAUAAUAUAGGUUUUAUAGUAUCAUCAAGUACAUCAGUUAAGCAAAUCAAGUGCUUUGUGUUCUGUAUAUAAAUUACAUAAUACAAGAGUCUGUGGCAGUUAAGAAUCUGGUUCUGCACUUUGGGAGGCAGUUCCUUCCCUCAGGUUUGUUAGUAGAAACCAAAAAGUAGCCUGAGAGGGUUCAGGUGCCACCUUGGAGGCACUACCUUAUCUUUUGUCCUUUUAGAGUUUUCUUGCUGGGGUGUUUGGCUCCAGCACUAUAGCCCUUACCACAAUCAUUCCACCUGGUUCUUCAAUAGGACUCUGAGGUAUCAAAAAAGUCACUAGGGCAGCCCAGAGAUUGGUACGAUUUACCUUUACACCUCAAAGUUUUUUAGAUGUGAGCAGCGCUGGAUUAUGGCAAUUUACCUUAUAAUAACUCACCAUAGUUGGCUGUUAUAAGAAUAAAUAUUGUUCUUCUAAGAUUUUUA